GACGAACGCUGGCGGCGUGCCUAACACAUGCAAGUCAACUUGACUGAAGGAGCAAUCUGACAGUAGAGUGGCGCAAGGGUGCGUAACGCGUAAGUAACUUGCCCAAGGUAAGGAAUAACGUCGAAAAUCGGCGCUAAUACCUCAUAAUGCAGCGGAUCCGCAUGGAUAUGUUGUUAAAGGUUUACCGCCUUGGGAUAGGCUUGCGUCGGAUUAGUUAGUUGGUGUGGUAACGGCACACCAAGGCUACGAUCAGUAACUGGUCUGAGAGGAUGAUCAGUCACACUGGAACUGAGACACGGUCCAGACUCCUACGGGAGGCAGCAGUGAGGAAUAUUGGGCAAUGCUCGAAAGAGUGACCCAGCAACGCCGCGUGGAGGAUGAAGGUAUUCUAUAUCGUAAACUCCUGUGAGAGCAGACGAAAGACAGAUUAUUAAUCUGGAUGACUGUAUGCUCAGAGGAAGCCCCGGCUAACUACGUGCCAG
This 482-nucleotide ribosomal RNA is filed under the name uncultured bacterium. RNAcentral's name for it is "bacterial SSU rRNA". It matches the Rfam family "Bacterial small subunit ribosomal RNA", at positions 28 to 511 of the family's 1533-position model. The record is from RNAcentral.